GCCUGAGGGAGUUGAAACCUUAGUUUUUUAUAAUUUUAAAAUCUAUAAAACGAACAAUUUCAGAAAGGUUUAUAAAUCGUGUCAGUACCAAAGUACUGACUACUGAGAUGAUGAUACCUUCGGAGACUGAUUGUCUUCCAGCAGCGGUAUCGACCCAGUGCUGUAAAAAAAUUGAAAACAACACUUCAUACAUUUGAUACGUCCG
This 205-nucleotide long non-coding RNA is filed under the name Mytilus galloprovincialis (Mediterranean mussel). The record is from RNAcentral. Lineage: Eukaryota; Metazoa; Mollusca; Bivalvia; Mytilida; Mytilidae.